AUUGAACGCUGGCGGCAUGCUUUACACAUGCAAGUCGAACGGUAACAGGCCUUCGGGUGCUGACGAGUGGCGAACGGGUGAGUAAUGCAUCGGAACGUGCCCAGAGGUGGGGGAUAACGCAGCGAAAGCUGUGCUAAUACCGCAUGUGAUCUGAGGAUGAAAGCGGGGGACCAGGCAGCAAUGUUUGGCCUCGCGCCUUUGGAGCGGCCGAUGUCAGAUUAGGUAGUUGGUGGGGUAAAGGCCUACCAAGCCGACGAUCUGUAGCUGGUCUGAGAGGACGACCAGCCACACUGGGACUGGGACACGGCCCAGACUCCUACGGGAGGCAGCAGUGGGGAAUUUUGGACAAUGGGCGCAAGCCUGAUCCAGCAAUGCCGCGUGCGGGAAGAAGGCCUUCGGGUUGUAAACCGCUUUUGUACGGAACGAAAAGGCUCUGGCUAAUACCUGGGGCUGAUGACGGUACCGUAAGAAUAAGCACCGGCUAACUACGUG
Molecule: ribosomal RNA, 492 nt
Filed under: uncultured bacterium
Lineage: Bacteria
Description: partial 16S ribosomal RNA
Rfam family: Bacterial small subunit ribosomal RNA
Source: RNAcentral